CUACGUGCCAGCAGCCGCGGUAAUACGUAGGUGGCAAGCGUUGUCCGGAAUUAUUGGGCGUAAAGCGCGCGCAGGCGGAUCAGUCAGUCUGUCUUAAAAGUUCGGGGCUUAACCCCGUGAUGGGAUGGAAACUGCUGAUCUAGAGUAUCGGAGAGGAAAGUGGAAUUCCUAGUGUAGCGGUGAAAUGCGUAGAUAUUAGGAAGAACACCAGUGGCGAAGGCGACUUUCUGGACGAAAACUGACGCUGAGGCGCGAAAGCCAGGGGAGCGAACAGGAUUAGAUACCCUGGUAGUCCACGCCGUAAACGAUGAGUGCUAGGUGUUAGACCCUUUCCGGGGUUUAGUGCCGCAGCUAACGCAUUAAGCACUCCGCCUGGGGAGUACGACCGCAAGGUUGAAACUCAAAGGAAUUGACGGGGGCCCGCAACAAGCGGUGGAGCAUGUGGUUUAAUUCGAAGCAACGCGAAGAACCUUACCAGGUCUUGACAUCCCUCUGACCGCUCUAGAGAUAGAGUUUUCCUUCGGGACA
This 528-nucleotide ribosomal RNA is filed under the name uncultured bacterium. Its description in RNAcentral is "bacterial SSU rRNA". It matches the Rfam family "Bacterial small subunit ribosomal RNA", at positions 501 to 1028 of the family's 1533-position model. The record is from RNAcentral.